CUUGUUUAUAUAUACAGAUUAACACUUGUUUAUAUAUACAGAUGCAAAGCAGCCUAGCGCAAGGGAUGUUCCUGGCCGGCGCAGGCGGGCGCGGCGCGUACGCGGGCGCCGCGCUGCAGGGCCCGCUGGCGUACCUCGAGAAAACUGCCACUAACAUAGACAUGGUGGGGCUGGGCGACGGACGCAGGUGACGCGGCCGCGGGAGGGGCAGGGGGCGCGGCCGCGGCAGAGGACGCGGCCGAGGCGCAUCCCCCGAGUAUGGCGGCAGCAUGACGCCGCCGUAGCGCCCCCUCCCGGCGCGGCGGCGACAACGCACAUUCGCUCGACAUCACCUCGCUAUGUUGGCUAACGUGUUUUUUUAAUAAUUAUGAUCUUGAGUACGGGUCCAGCAUGUGUACCUACUGGGCCACAAAGUCUGGAGGAGGAAUAUCUAAUAAGUUAAUAACCCUUUUAGCAUGAAAUUAGUAAUUUUUAACAAUAAUGACUUGGAUACUAGUCCAUUGAACCUAGUCUCCAAACUUUACUCGAGGACCAAAGGGGCUAACGCGAAAAUCGGAUCGAUCUAUCAACCUUCGAUAUUCGAAUGAUAGAGAGGCAAAUAGACCAAUGAAGUUAUUCUAGUCUUCCUUUCAAGUCAAAUUUCCUUUGGCUUUUCUUGCUUCCUUUCCGCAAGCCAAAAGUUGAACGUCCAAAAAGUAUCUGAAUAGUUCAACCAAAAUCGAGCUAGACUUAAUUUUGAUUAUCAGCUUCCUUCAACAACAACCAACUGAAUCUUUACUUGCUCAGCCGGAUUAGUUUAUACGUAUUAUUAAUUACGUUUAUCAGUUUAUGAUCAUAAUCAACAGACCAGUUAACCACAAAAUAUGUGGAAAGACCAUUAUAUUUAUCGGCAUAAGUGAUCAUUAAUGUUUUUUUACAACUAGCGAGGUCAUGUUAAGCGUUCAUCUCAUUCCAAAUCAUUGCUUAUAACCAGAUAAAUUAUAAUAAUAUACCUACAAGUUAUACAACAUAUCCGCUAUGAUCUUUUUAUAGACGAUAUUUGAAAACUAGCUUUUUGAGACCAGUGGUUAUUUGAAACUGCACUGAAUUAGUACAUUACGAUACAAGUGCGAAAAAUAGGAAAUUCGAGUGGCGAUAAAUUAAAACACGACCGAAGGGAGUGUUUUAAAUCCACACGAGUUGCGAAUUACCUAUUCGCACAUGUAUCGUACAACGUUUUACAGUACAUAUGGCCCUUUAAAUGUUCGACACAGUAACGUAAUAUGCUAAUUUUCGCACUAGUGCGGUAAAGUAGUACCAUAUGUACUGUAAAUUAUAUAAACGUAAAACGAGGUAAUUUUUAAACAAUGGAACUCUGAAAUUUUUUAUUUCAUGUUUAACACUACCUACCAUAAUACCAUAAAAUAGACCAAGCUAACCAAGAACAGGGAGCGUGCAUGAACUGUAGGAGGCAGCACAGGAGCCGUCAGAUUUUUGGCGCGAGGCGGAAAUGUGAUGUUUAUUGUUCCGAUGUAGCCCACAAGAUGGCGGAACCUACUAUGCACAAGAAAACACGUGACGUGUAAAUGUACAUGUUAAUGGUUCCGAUUCAGGCCACAAGAUGGCAGACCCUCCAUCGCGCACGGUCCCUCUAAUGAUUAAGAACAGUUUUUACCCAUCGUUUCCAAGGGAUCUAAGUAUGCCAACCAAAAACACCUAAUGCCCACGCCCUCGCCAGACAAAGAAUGAAGAACUUUGGAACACGCUAUCUGGAACCAAAGGAAUUCAAAAUGCUACACAUGAGCUCCAUCAUCCGGCAUAUAAAGAUGGUCGGAAAAGCUCUUGAGUAGUUGACUAAGGGGGUACACACAAAAAAUCCUAUGGGUUCCGCAAUGGCCCCCGAAAACUAAAGGAUAAGAUAAGAUGCCAACAAAAAAAAACAAUCGAGAAUUUAGAGUUGAAUUUUUACAGUCAUUGCGGACGCAAUAUCGCGUCCUCGAGCCUCAAGGGAGACCAAUCUAACAAAGCAGCUGUAUAUUUGUAUUAAUUAACCUUUUGAACGCCAGGCCUAUCGCACGCGGCGCGUAAUCGUGUACCUUGUCGGUACGCAUGAAGGUUGAUAUUGGGCUGUAGCCGCGCGUCAUAUGACGUCUUUGGCGGUCAAAAGGUUAAUGAUGAUAUCUGUUUUCUGUACACUCGUUAACGUUAAUACAAACGCUUUAUGUAUGAAGUACUUUUUAGACUACUAAUAUGAAACAUAAUGUAAGAUAUACGAAUAAAGAUCGACUUCUACAGUUUCAAAUAACCCCAGGUCACAAAUAACCAUACCGUAUAAGUAUUUAAACAAAAAUCGUUGUUGUAACAGAUUAUAUUUUGUAUAUUUCUCGACCACCGUAUCCUUUAACCCUUUGAACGGUAAGGCGUCGUUACUAGUCGUGCCCACCGCGCCAACAGGUGUUAUGGCGGACGCUGUCAAAGUAACCUUCACACUUUCAAGUAAGGUUUACAUUAGCUCGCUUGCGCCCGGGAGCUUGGCGUGUGAGUGAUGUUUGUGUUUAUGACAUAGUGUUCAAAAGGUUAAAGUAGUUCUUAUUUUUCAAAUGAUUUCUACUGUAUAUAAGCAACUAUUGUAUUUUAUUUCACCAGAUAAUUUAUUGGGAAAAUUCUGUGUUGCAUGUUUGACAGAAUAUAACUACUUAUUGCACAUAAUCACACUUAUGAUAUCACGUAACCAAUGAGCUAGUCAGACCACACUAAGUUGUCAGUGAUUUUGAUAGCCCAGACGGUGCACGUGUUAUUUAAACGUCAAACCAGGGCUCGCAACCGGUUUAUUUUUAAAUCCCGAAAUAGCCCAAUAUUACUCUACGUAGGACUGGAUCACGUAUUUAGGUAACAACUUCGCAUUAAUAGAAAAUCCCAUUAAAAAUGAAAUAAUAAACCAAAGAACGAAAAAGAACGUAAUAAUACCGGUAUUUUUUGUAUGAAGAAAAAACCGGUUCCGAGCCUUGCGUCAAAGUUCUAUGAAAUUAUGACGUUUACUUAACACUUGCCCCGUCUGGGAUAUCAAUAUCGCUGACAACUUAUCUUGGUGUGAGUCUCAUGUAAGGGCUCUACAGACCUAGCAACAAAUGGUAUGCGAUUUUAGAUAAUUGCCAGCUAAGUUGGUACAAUCAAUUCAAUCGAUCGAUCAAAUGCCGCAAUGUGUCAACAUUGACAUAUAAAUAAAUAUUAUAGGACAUUAUUACACAAAUUGACUAAGUCCCACAGUAAGCUCAAUAAGGCUUGUGUUGAGGGUACUUAGACAACGAUAUAUAUAAUAUAUAAAUAUUUAUAAAUACUUAAAUACAUAGAAAACACCCAUGACUCAGGAACAAAUAUCUAUGCUCAUCAUCCGGGACCAUCGGCUUCAUAGGCAGGGUCACUACCCACGAGGCCAGACCGGUCGUACAUAUAUAUCUAAGGACGGCCCUUACGGGCAAUAAGAAUGGCGCUAGUUCAGUGGUGUCACUCACGAAUUCGAGCCAAUCGUGCAGUCUAACGCAACUAGUUGCGAACAAUCGCGCGCGUGAUGCGAACUCAUCAACCAAUCGCGUUGCGGCGUUAGACUGCACAAUUGGCUCGAAUUCGUGUACGUGUCGCCGCUGUACUGGCCCCAUUCUUAUUGCCCGUAAGGCCCGUCCUUAGAUAUAUAUGUCAAUGAAUGCCCAUCGCAUACAAUUAUUUGGUAGAUCUAUAGAGACCAGUACUGAAUGUUUUCCAUCGUAAAGAUGCAAUAAAUGUCCUGUGCAUAAUCACUUGUAUAAAAUAGGAUUAAGAUAAGUAAAAUGGGGUGACUCAGUCCACUAAGCUUACACUAUAUAGCUAUCGAUAUAUUUCAAUUUGUAAACCACUGGUCUUAUUCACAUAUUUAUGAAAUUUCCGGAAACGAUCAAUUACUACUAGGCAACCAAGACAAUUGUUAUAACCAACAAUUAGAAGUUUGCAUGUCUUUGUAGCCCCGUUUUGGUUAAUGUCACCCCAUUUUAUGAUACACGAAGCAACAAAUAAUGUAACCAUAAACUAUAUUAUCUAGUCCCAAAAAUAGGCAUAAAAAAGUUUUUCUUCGGCACGUGGGGAAGAUAUUACUAAUGAAUCAUUAUAAUGUAUUGAUAACGAAUAUAUCAUACACGCAUUCGAAUAAAUAUUAAUAUGAAACAUUGUGUUUUUUUUUAUCUCCCAAUCACCUUAUUUUUACUGUUACCUCCUGUCUCCAACAUCAGAUCAGCUUGAUGGUACCAUAAUAUUGCAUUGUCACCCGACUUACAUACUUAUGCAUGCAAAUUUUCAGCUUCAUCGGAAACCGGGAAGUAGGUCAAAUUUAACUUGCAAGAUUUGUCCCAUAUAGGGCAAGUUAAAUAAAAGCUUGUAAAAACGUAGACUUGCUUUAUAGGUUGGUCAGUUGUACCAAAGAGAAUUUGAAAUAGAGGUGUAUUGUCAAAAAUAACUUUGUAGCCACGUAUGUUUUACCGCGGGGACCUGGUAGUGUCCUUAAACUACGUCCAACGUAUGGUUAAUCCUAAGCGGUCAUAUUGAAGGAGAAUCCAUCGGUUCAACAGAACUUGUCAACGAAAUUACGGUCAAAUCAAUAAAAACUAUGGGAUUAGGAUUAUCAGUGUUUAACUGCAGGGACAAUGAAUCAUCUGAGUAUGUAAACACAGUGCGUACUUUAGUGGUGCCCAGGGUGCGCAUCACAUCACGAAAUAUUGGCGAAAUUUUACCAAUACGAUUUUACGAAAAAAAUCACACAAGCACGCACACACACAAACACAAACACACAACACACUUUUAGGUAAUUAUCCUAACAGUAUAAUAAACAAUAGUAAUAGUCCAAUAGUAAAUAUAUAUAAACAUAUAUAAUACGGGUAGUUGAAAAUGUUGUCACAAACAAUAGCUGAUAUUGUAUACGUAUAUACUUAAUUAAGCAAAAUGAUUAUCCAAAUUUUAGAUUUGUCUACCAACUCACCUUUGCUGCAUUUCUAAAAAUAGCGGUGGUUCCCUGAUCCCUAUAAGACAGGUUUACCUAGUUUAGGGCUCAGGACACUAUUCCUAGGCUUUCCAACAAUAGAAUGCUUCUAAAAAUGUAAUACUUUUCUACUGUGUAAUAAGCUGCAAUUUUGAUACCUAAAUAAAUCAUUUUUCAUUUUUUUCA
Molecule: long non-coding RNA, 5167 nt
Organism: Cydia pomonella (codling moth)
Lineage: Eukaryota; Metazoa; Arthropoda; Insecta; Lepidoptera; Tortricidae
Exons: 3
Source: RefSeq, a predicted model, not a curated record